GAUGAACGCUGGCGGCGUGCCUAAUACAUGCAAGUCGAGCGAACGGACGAGAAGCUUGCUUCUCUGAUGUUAGCGGCGGACGGGUGAGUAACACGCGGAUAACCUACCUAUAAGACUGGGAUAACUUCGGGAAACCGGAGCUAAUACCGGAUAAUAUUUUGAACCGCAUGGUUCAAAAGUGAAAGACGGUCCUGCUGUCACUUAUAGAUGGAUCCGCGCUGCAUUAGCUAGUUGGUAAGGUAACGGCUUACCAAGGCAACGAUGCAUAGCCGACCUGAGAGGGUGAUCGGCCACACUGGAACUGAGACACGGUCCAGACUCCUACGGGAGGCAGCAGUAGGGAAUCUUCCGCAAUGGGCGAAAGCCUGACGGAGCAACGCCGCGUGAGUGAUGAAGGUCUUCGGAUCGUAAAACUCUGUUAUUAGGGAAGAACAUAUGUGUAAGUAACUGUGCACAUCUUGACGGUACCUAAUCAGAAAGCCACGGCUAACUACGUG
This 497-nucleotide ribosomal RNA is filed under the name uncultured bacterium. Its description in RNAcentral is "partial 16S ribosomal RNA". It matches the Rfam family "Bacterial small subunit ribosomal RNA", at positions 28 to 507 of the family's 1533-position model. The record is from RNAcentral.